RNAcentral lists this ribosomal RNA (553 nucleotides) under Leucosporidium scottii. RNAcentral describes it as "eukaryotic LSU rRNA". It matches the Rfam family "Eukaryotic large subunit ribosomal RNA", at positions 104 to 655 of the family's 3401-position model. The record is from RNAcentral. Lineage: Eukaryota; Fungi; Basidiomycota; Microbotryomycetes; Leucosporidiales; Leucosporidiaceae.
GAGCUCAAAUUUGUAAUCUGGCACUUUCAGUGUCCGAGUUGUAAUCUCGAGAAGUAUUUUCCGCGCCGGACCGCAUACAAGUCUGUUGGAAUACAGCGUCAUAGUGGUGAGAACCCCGUAACUGAUGCGGAUGCCCGGUGCUUUGUGAUAUACUUUCGAAGAGUCGAGUUGUUUGGGAAUGCAGCUCAAAUUGGGUGGUAAAUUCCAUCUAAAGCUAAAUAUUGGAGCAAGACCGAUAGCGAACAAGUACCGUGAGGGAAAGAUGAAAAGCACUUUGGAAAGAGAGUUAACAGUACGUGAAAUUGUUGGAAGGGAAACGCUUGAAGUCAGACUUGCUAUUCGGAGUUCAGCCGCAAGGUGUAUUCUUCGAUUUGCAGGCCAGCAUCAGUUUUUGGGGGUGGAAAAUCGUGGUUUGAAGGUAGCAGCUUCGGCUGUGUUAUAGCUUUCCACUGGAUUCAUCUUCGGGGACUGAGGAACGCAGUACGCUUUUUGCAAGGCUUUCGAGCUUUUCGUACUUAGGAUGCUGGUGGAAUGGCUUUAAACGACCCGUCUU